This 292-nucleotide ribosomal RNA is filed under the name uncultured bacterium. Its description in RNAcentral is "partial 16S ribosomal RNA". It matches the Rfam family "Bacterial small subunit ribosomal RNA", at positions 505 to 796 of the family's 1533-position model. The record is from RNAcentral.
GUGCCAGCAGCCGCGGUAAUACGUAGGGGGCAAGCGUUGUCCGGAUUCACUGGGCGUAAAGCGCGUGUAGGCGGCGCGUCAAGUCGGGUGUGAAAGCCCGGGGCUCAACCCCGGGAUGCCGCUCGAAACUGGCGCGCUUGAGGACGGAAGAGGGGAGUGGAAUUCCUGGUGUAGCGGUGAAAUGCGUAGAGAUCAGGAGGAACACCCGUGGCGAAGGCGGCUCCCUGGUCCGUUACUGACGCUGAGACGCGAAAGCGCGGGGAGCGAACGGGAUUAGAAACCCGUGUAGUCC